CAAAGCAGGAGGGUAAUCGCGCUUUUCAAAAAGUGAGGAAAGUCCGUGCAUCUGAGGACAAAUCGCCGGAGAAAGUCCGGACGGCGUGAGCCGGUGGAAAGGGCCACAGAAAAUAUACAGCCUAAAAUAUUUGGGCAAUGGUGCAACGGUGAGGUAAGAGCUCACCGGCAGACCCGAGAGGGAAUGCGUCAAGGUAACCCCCGAUUGGAUGCAAGAUAAAAUUGAAGGUUAAGGCGGUCCGCCGACUUCAAAACAUAUCGCUAGAGGUCCGGAGUAAUCCGGACACCAGACAGAUGAUUACCGAGAAACAGAACACGGCUUAUUACCUGCUUUAAAUU
This 338-nucleotide RNase P RNA is filed under the name bacterium. RNAcentral's name for it is "RNase P RNA component class A". It matches the Rfam family "Bacterial RNase P class A". From Rfam's summary of the family: Ribonuclease P (RNase P) is a ubiquitous endoribonuclease, found in archaea, bacteria and eukarya as well as chloroplasts and mitochondria. Its best characterised activity is the generation of mature 5'-ends of tRNAs by cleaving the 5'-leader elements of precursor-tRNAs. Cellular RNase Ps are ribonucleoproteins. The record is from RNAcentral.